RNAcentral lists this unclassified non-coding RNA (1945 nucleotides) under Acromyrmex echinatior (Panamanian leafcutter ant). RNAcentral describes it as "synaptic vesicle glycoprotein 2B-like, transcript variant X4". The record is from RNAcentral. Lineage: Eukaryota; Metazoa; Arthropoda; Insecta; Hymenoptera; Formicidae.
UGUGAGGCAUACCCGUAACAAUUGGAUCGUUUAACCCGUUUUUAUUGGCGGGUUACGCGAGCGAGAAGCUCGCCAGAAAACGUGAUCGCAUUUUAUACUCCGACCUCAUGCAUGAACUCGUAUUCCGGCACCGCAAAUUGCAUCAAUAAAAAAAAUGAAUCUCUGAAUGAACGCAUCCUCGCAAAGUACGUCUGUUUUUAUAUUCAAAGUGAACAAACGGCCGGAUACUUGACGCAGUUCCGUUCCAAUUGAGCAACGAAGAUUUGUCGAAGAACGAGAUCGCCACCUGAAUCGACUAGGACUUCUAUUUUUGUCGUGAGAGAAGCAAAACUAACUCCAUCACGUCGAGUGCAAUCGACUCUUCAGCUUGUCGCGUCGGAUAUGAUCGCGAGUGACCGAAAUGCUGACAAGAUCGAGAUCACAACGACCGAUAGCGUUAACGAACCCGCCGAUUUCGACACAGCCAUAUCCACAACCGGUUAUGGAUUAUUUAAUGUGCUGCUGCUACUGGCGGUGUUGCCAAUUGCGUGGACCGCCGUUUUUGAUACUACUACUGGCGGAUUCAUCUUGGCAUCAGCCGAGUACGAUUUCGAGCUUACGUUUUUUCGCAAAGGCAUGUUCGUUGCGUUUCCUUACAUAGGUAUGACAACGACUGCUUUUAUAUGGGAUUAUAUAACGCCCUACAUAAGUAUGAAAAUAUUGUUCAUCUUCGCAUUAUUAGGUGAUUCGAUUUUGAACAUUGUGAGUAGUGGUGUACGGUCGUUCUACAUAUAUCUACUAAUCAAAUUUAUCAGCGGGAUCUUAGUAGGCGGCCCGUUGGCGAUGGUGAUGACGUACUUAAUGGAAUUCCAUUCGGCAAGGUAUAAACUCCGUUUCACCACAUGGACGGGAUUUCUCUUCGCCAUAGCGAACAUCAUACCAGCAGUUAUUGCCUUUGCGAUAUUACCGUUAGACUGGCACAUUGAUAUCCUUGGCCAAGACUACGAUGCUUGGCGUAUAUACCUACUGAUCUGUUCGAUACCACCCGUCGUCGGCCUCGUGACGGCGACCAUGUUGCCGGAAAGCCCUAAGUAUCUCAUGGCAACUGGCAGGUCAGAUGCUGCCUUGAAAUUGCUUAGGAGGAUGUAUUGUAUGAACACCCACCAACCUGCGGAUACGUUCCCGAUAAAAGCGCUGUUCGUUCGGCAAAAGACGCAAUUGGCGCGUCCCAUGCUUAAGGACAGCCUCGAAAGGAUGCGCAUCUCGUUGUACAACACGAAGAUACUACUGGCGAGUCAUCUGCCCGCUUUCUGCUUCGUAAGUUUCCUCCAAUUUGGAAGUAUGCUCGGAUUUCACAUAAUGAGACUGUGGGUGCCGCAGCUUUUUAUUAUUGUCAGCAACUUUGACGAGAAAAAUUGGACACCGAAGGAAAGACAGCCAACUUUCUGUGAGCUGCUGGACCCUCACGUGACUAUACCGGGCAGACAAUAUUUAAAUUGUUCCAACUUUAAAGACGUAUUUUUCAGGUGGACCACCUAUCCUGUGAUUUAUCAAAAUUCCACCGUUAUCGCAUUUUCUGCCGUUAUAUUUUCAUUUCUCGCCGGAUUCGUAAUGACUACUAAACUUCGAAAACAGAUCAUAAUGAUCACGGCCCUCCUGAUAUCGGUGGCAAGCAGUUUCGGAAUAAAUUGGGCGCAGUCUCCACCGUAUAUGCUGACGCUGGCGGCGGCGGUUAUCGUGACGACAAGAAUAGCGGAGAUACGAGCAUCAAUAUCCUUACGACCAUUGGAAAUGUUGCCGCUAUUGUGGGAAAUCUGAUUUUCUCCGCGCUUCUGGAGACUGAGUGCCUCAUCGCUUUCAUAGGAAUGGGUUGUUUCUUCUCCGUCUGCCUUUGCAUAUCUCUAUUCUUUCCGCAAUCUGUGAAAAAAUCGCCAGCGAAACCUACUGAAGUUAGUACAAAGUGAAG